GUGGGGAAUAUUGGACAAUGGGCGAAAGCCUGAUCCAGCCAUGCCGCGUGUGUGAAGAAGGUCUUCGGAUUGUAAAGCACUUUAAGUUGGGAGGAAGGGCAGUAAGCUAAUACCUUGCUGUUUUGACGUUACCGACAGAAUAAGCACCGGCUAACUUCGUGCCAGCAGCCGCGGUAAUACGAAGGGUGCAAGCGUUAAUCGGAAUUACUGGGCGUAAAGCGCGCGUAGGUGGUUUUGUAAGUUGGAGGUGAAAUCCCCGGGCUCAACCUGGGAACUGCCUCCAAAACUGCAUGACUAGAGUACGGUAGAGGGUAGUGGAAUUUCCUGUGUAGCGGUGAAAUGCGUAGAUAUAGGAAGGAACACCAGUGGCGAAGGCGACUACCUGGACUGAUACUGACACUGAGGUGCGAAAGCGUGGGGAGCAAACAGGAUUAGAUACCCCGGUAGUCC
Molecule: ribosomal RNA, 450 nt
Filed under: uncultured bacterium
Lineage: Bacteria
Description: bacterial SSU rRNA
Rfam family: Bacterial small subunit ribosomal RNA
Source: RNAcentral